AUCCUGGCUCAGAACGAACGCUGGCGGUAUGCCUAACACAUGCAAGUCGAACGAAGGCUUCGGCCUUAGUGGCGCACGGGUGCGUAACGCGUGGGAAUCUGCCCUUAGGUUCGGAAUAACAGCUGGAAACGGCUGCUAAUACCGGAUGAUAUCGCGAGAUCAAAGAUUUAUCGCCUGAGGAUGAGCCCGCGUUGGAUUAGGUAGUUGGUGGGGUAAAGGCCUACCAAGCCGACGAUCCAUAGCUGGUCUGAGAGGAUGAUCAGCCACACUGGGACUGAGACACGGCCCAGACUCCUACGGGAGGCAGCAGAAGGG
RNAcentral lists this ribosomal RNA (315 nucleotides) under uncultured Sphingomonas sp. RNAcentral's name for it is "bacterial SSU rRNA". It matches the Rfam family "Bacterial small subunit ribosomal RNA", at positions 16 to 359 of the family's 1533-position model. Lineage: Bacteria; Pseudomonadati; Pseudomonadota; Alphaproteobacteria; Sphingomonadales; Sphingomonadaceae. The record is from RNAcentral.